AUAUCAAAGUAUGCCCUUUGCGUUUUUUUCCUUGUUUACGGAAGAACAAACUUUUUCCUGACUCUUUGAAUUACGUGUUCUUGUGUUCAUAUAUUUUCUGUUUGCAGAUUCAGAAAUUAGGUGAUAGUUAUUAUCUUUUUAAGAAGAAUGUGAUCCUCUCGGACACUGGGGAAUACAUUUGCUCUGCAAGGAAUGCCGUGGGAGAGGCAACUUGUUCAGCAAGCAUCAUUGUGACAGGUAUAUGCUGCACACACUCUGCCAGGUGAACUUGUCUGAGGAAACAGAGAACUCGGCCCCGAGGUGAUGUUUGCAUUUCUUUUAGAAAAAGAGAAAAGAGAAGAAGUGUGCUGCAGAGCUGAGGCAAAAGCUAAAAGUGGACGGAAGUUUUUACCAGAACGUACAACCACAAAUAUAGAGGAGCAGGGCCCAGCUACACACAUCAGCCAGAAGACAAUGACAAAACAGUUUUCAGUGAGGAGAUUCCCUGCAGCUUGGGAGCACUACCAAGAUUUUGCAGUUCUCCACCCAGGGUACAGGACAAUUCACAGAAGACACUGUCCAGGAAUGGAAGAGCAUCAUUAUUCGGAGAAAGGAGAAAGAGAAGGCAGAGCAAUGGUGACCCCGGAAGAAUCUCAAGUGCCAAGACAGGAAACAAGAAGGAGCUUCUGGAGGUAA
RNAcentral lists this long non-coding RNA (675 nucleotides) under Phascolarctos cinereus (koala). Its description in RNAcentral is "lncRNA (ENSPCIG00000035464.1)". The record is from RNAcentral. Lineage: Eukaryota; Metazoa; Chordata; Mammalia; Diprotodontia; Phascolarctidae.